UACGUAGGGUGCGAGCGUUGUCCGGAAUUAUUGGGCGUAAAGGGCUCGUAGGCGGUUUGUCGCGUCGGGAGUGAAAACACUGGGCUUAACCCAGUGCUUGCUUUCGAUACGGGCAGACUAGAGGUAUGCAGGGGAGAACGGAAUUCCUGGUGUAGCGGUGAAAUGCGCAGAUAUCAGGAGGAACACCGGUGGCGAAGGCGGGUCUCUGGGCCGGAACUGACGCUAAGGAGCGAAAGCUAGGGGAGCAAACGGG
RNAcentral lists this ribosomal RNA (253 nucleotides) under uncultured bacterium. RNAcentral's name for it is "partial 16S ribosomal RNA". It matches the Rfam family "Bacterial small subunit ribosomal RNA", at positions 524 to 776 of the family's 1533-position model. The record is from RNAcentral.